This 661-nucleotide ribosomal RNA is filed under the name Russula pseudocarmesina. RNAcentral's name for it is "eukaryotic LSU rRNA". The stretch from base 236 to 389 matches the Rfam family "5.8S ribosomal RNA". Lineage: Eukaryota; Fungi; Basidiomycota; Agaricomycetes; Russulales; Russulaceae. The record is from RNAcentral.
AAAAGUCGUAACAAGGUUUCCGUAGGUGAACCUGCGGAAGGAUCAUUAUCGUAUUACAGAGGCACCUAGGGUUGUCGCUGACCUUUUAUAGGUCGUGCACGCCCAAAGUGCUCUCUUACAUCCAUUUCACCCUUUGUGCAUUACCGCGUGGGAUCCCCUAUCCGGGGUUCUUGCGUCUUUAUCCAAACAAACAUGAAUGUAUAGAAUGUCUUUUGCGAUUAUACGCAAUCAAUAUAACUUUCAACAACGGAUCUCUUGGCUCUCGCAUCGAUGAAGAACGCAGCGAAAUGCGAUACGUAAUGUGAAUUGCAGAAUUCAGUGAAUCAUCGAAUCUUUGAACGCACCUUGCGCCCUUUGGUAUUCCGAAGGGCACACCCGUUUGAGUGUCGUGAAUACUCUCAACCUUUUUGGUUUCUUGACCAAGAAGGCUUGGACGUUGGAGGUUUCUUUGCUGGCUUUCAUUAAAAGUCUGCUCCUCCUAAAUGAAUUAGUGGGAUCUGCUUUGCUGAUCCUUGACGUGAUAAUUACUUUUCUACGUCUUGGUUUUUGCAAUGUCACUCGCUUCAAACCGUCUUUAUAUUCAAAGACAAUAUUUACUUGACCUUGACCUCAAAUCGGGUGAGACUACCCGCUGAACUUAAGCAUAUCAAUAAGCGGAGGA